Molecule: ribosomal RNA, 777 nt
Filed under: uncultured Neocallimastigales
Lineage: Eukaryota; Fungi; Neocallimastigomycota; Neocallimastigomycetes; Neocallimastigales
Description: partial large subunit ribosomal RNA
Rfam family: Eukaryotic large subunit ribosomal RNA
Source: RNAcentral
AGAGAGAGACAUGCGCGCAUAUCAAUAAGCGGAGGAAAAGAAACUAACAAGGAUUCCCCUAGUAACGGCGAGUGAAGCGGGAAGAGCUCAAAUUUGAAAUCUUAAAGGGUUUCCCUUUACGAAUUGUAGCUUAAAGAAGUGUUUUCUGUUGAGGUUUUGGUAAAAGUUCUUUGGAAUAGGACAUCAUAGAGGGUGAGAAUCCCGUAUUUGACCUUUACUUUCAACUUUGUGAUACACUUUCAAAGAGUCGGAUUGUUUGGGAAUGCAGUCCAAAAUGGGUGGUAAAUUUCAUCUAAAGCUAAAUAUUGGCGAGGAGACCGAUAGCGAACAAGUACCGUGAGGGAAAGAUGAAAAGAACUUUGAAAAGAGAGUUAAACAGUACGUGAAAUUGUCAAAAGGGAAGCGUUUGACACCAGUGUUGUUUUUCUGAAAAUCAAUUAAAGAACUGUUUAUGCUAAGCUUGUUUAGACUUUAUCAGCUAACUGUUUAGUUUUGAGCUUUUCUUUAAUGCACUUUUCAGUUAACAAGUCAACAUCAAUUUCUUUUGCUGUAAAAAAGCUUGAGGAAGGUGGCUUGAGAUUCGUCUUAAGUGUUUUAUAGCCUCUUGCCUAUGCAGUCGGAGAGAUUGAGGUCUGCAGCGUAGAUCCUUCGGGGCUAAAUGCAUUUGUGCUAAGUUAUAGCCUUUCAUAGACAACUUGUUGACUAUGAUCAGUCAUGUAGCUUACUCGCUUAUGCUAUUUUACCUACGCUUAGGAUGUUGAGCGCAUGUCUCUCUCU